RNAcentral lists this ribosomal RNA (795 nucleotides) under uncultured bacterium. RNAcentral's name for it is "bacterial SSU rRNA". It matches the Rfam family "Bacterial small subunit ribosomal RNA", at positions 8 to 796 of the family's 1533-position model. The record is from RNAcentral.
AGAGUUUGAUCAUGGCUCAGAUUGAACGCUGGCGGAAUGCUUUACACAUGCAAGUCGGGCGGCAGCGCGGGGGCAACCCUGGCGGCGAGCGGCGAACGGGUGAGUAAUGCAUCGGAACGUACCCCGUCGUGGGGGAUAACGAGUCGAAAGAUUCGCUAAUACCGCAUACGACCUGAGGGUGAAAGCGGGGGACCGGUAACGGCCUCGCGCGAUGGGAGCGGCCGAUGCCCGAUUAGCUAGUUGGUGAGGUAAAGGCUCACCAAGGCGACGAUCGGUAGCUGGUCUGAGAGGAUGAUCAGCCACACUGGGACUGAGACACGGCCCAGACUCCUACGGGAGGCAGCAGUGGGGAAUUUUGGACAAUGGGGGCAACCCUGAUCCAGCCAUUCCGCGUGAGUGAAGAAGGCCUUCGGGUUGUAAAGCUCUUUCGGCAGGGAAGAAACGGUUCGGGUCAAUACCCUGAGCUAAUGACGGUACCUGAAGAAGAAGCACCGGCUAACUACGUGCCAGCAGCCGCGGUAAUACGUAGGGUGCGAGCGUUAAUCGGAAUUACUGGGCGUAAAGCGUGCGCAGGCGGUUGUGUAAGACAGGUGUGAAAUCCCCGGGCUCAACCUGGGAAUGGCGCUUGUGACUGCACGACUGGAGUGCGGCAGAGGGGGGUGGAAUUCCACGUGUAGCAGUGAAAUGCGUAGAGAUGUGGAGGAACACCGAUGGCGAAGGCAGCCCCCUGGGUCGACACUGACGCUCAGGCACGAAAGCGUGGGGAGCAAACAGGAUUAGAUACCCUAGUAGUCC